Hydra vulgaris (swiftwater hydra) is the source of this 693-nucleotide non-coding RNA. Lineage: Eukaryota; Metazoa; Cnidaria; Hydrozoa; Anthoathecata; Hydridae. The record is from RefSeq and is a predicted model, not a curated record.
UGAAAUGUGUUUUUGAUUGUUCACUUAAUGUAAUAGUCAUCCGAACUUGAUUUUUUAUAUUUUGUUUCCUGAUCCAAAGAGAAGAAAAUCGUGGCUUUAUGCUUUAUAUAGAACUGAUUCAUCUUGCUAAAACAAACUUAGGUCGCAAAACAUGUCUAAGUAUGCUCAAAACAUUUUGUAUCUGAAUAUUAUGUACAAAAAAGUCAUUGCAAUAAAUCUCAAGUUAUUAAAGUCAGUUAACAAAUAAGUACUGACAAUUCAUUGACUGGAGUGGAAGAUGUUAGUGUCUUGAACCAACAUGAAACAACAAGUUAACUUAGCUGAGAAUGAUGGUAGUUUAAAAAUAAUGCAGCAUUGACUAGGAUUGUUCCUCGGUCACAAAAACAAUCUUACAAAUAGAGUUUCUGCUGUUGUCACUGGUUUUAGAGAGUACCUUUGUGAAUGAAGAUAAAAAGUCAUUUAUGUUAUUUUUUAAAAGCCAAGACAUAAUAUUGUUAAUCCUCAUACCAUUUACUAAAAAGCUUUAUAAAUAUUGUUACGAUGUUAUAAUUCAAAUUGUUGUAAUUAGUAAUUUUGAUCAUUUCAUUAUUAUACUGUAAAAAAUAUUUUUUAUUUAUAACAUUUAUUUCACAUAUAUUAAAAACAUGAGGAAUAAAUAUUACACUGAGGAAAAUUUUAAACAAAAUAUAGAAU